GAUGAACGCUGGCGGCGUGCCUAAUACAUGCAAGUCGAGCGAACAGACGAGGAGCUUGCUCCUCUGACGUUAGCGGCGGACGGGUGAGUAACACGUGGAUAACCUACCUAUAAGACUGGGAUAACUUCGGGAAACCGGAGCUACUACCGGAUAAUAUAUUGAACCGCAUGGUUCAAUAGUGAAAGACGGUUUGGCUGUCACUUAUAGAUGGAUCCGCGCCGCAUUAGCUAGUUGGUAAGGUAACGGCUUACCAAGGCAACGAUGCGUAGCCGAGCUGAGAGGGUGAUCGGCCACACUGGAACUGAGACACGGUCCAGACUCCUACGGGAGGCAGCAGUAGGGAAUCUUCCGCAAUGGGCGAAAGCUUGACGGAGCCACGCCGCGUGAGUGAUGAAGGUCUUCGGAUCGUAAAACUCUGUUAUUAGGGAAGAACAAAUGUGUAAGUAACUAUGCACGUCUUGACGGUACCUAAUCAGAAAGCCACGGCUAACUACGUG
This 497-nucleotide ribosomal RNA is filed under the name uncultured bacterium. Its description in RNAcentral is "partial 16S ribosomal RNA". It matches the Rfam family "Bacterial small subunit ribosomal RNA", at positions 28 to 507 of the family's 1533-position model. The record is from RNAcentral.